Molecule: unclassified non-coding RNA, 307 nt
Filed under: plant metagenome
Description: partial contains 5.8S ribosomal RNA, internal transcribed spacer 2, and large subunit ribosomal RNA
Rfam family: 5.8S ribosomal RNA (bases 1-106)
Source: RNAcentral
CGAAAUGCGAUAAGUAAUGUGAAUUGCAGAAUUCAGUGAAUCAUCGAAUCUUUGAACGCACAUUACGCCCUUUGGCAUUCCGAGGGGCAUGCCUGUUCGAGCGUCAUUACACCAAUCAAGCCUGGCUUGGUAUUGGGCGACGGGGCCGUCACACGCCCCGCGCCCCAAUGACUCCCGGCGAGACGGAUCGUGUUCUCAGCGUUGUGGUCACAGAAGCCGCUGGCGAGACGAGACGCCUGUGCCGUUAAACCACCCAUCUUCUCAAGGUUGACCUCGGAUCAGGUAGGGAUACCCGCUGAACUUAAGC